RNAcentral lists this ribosomal RNA (776 nucleotides) under uncultured Neocallimastigales. RNAcentral describes it as "partial large subunit ribosomal RNA". It matches the Rfam family "Eukaryotic large subunit ribosomal RNA", at positions 26 to 628 of the family's 3401-position model. Lineage: Eukaryota; Fungi; Neocallimastigomycota; Neocallimastigomycetes; Neocallimastigales. The record is from RNAcentral.
CGUCUAUAUACGUAUAGCAUAUCAAUAAGCGGAGGAAAAGAAACUAACUAGGAUUCCCUCAGUAACGGCGAGUGAAGCGGGAAGAGCUCAAAUUUGAAAUCUUCAAGGUUCUACCUUGACGAAUUGUAGUUUAAAGAAGUGUUUUCUGUUGGAGUUUUGGUAAAAGUUCUUUGGAAUAGGACAUCAUAGAGGGUGAGAAUCCCGUAUUUGACCAUUAUUUCCAACUGUGUGAUACAUCUUUCAAAGAGUCGGAUUGUUUGGGAAUGCAGUCCAAAAUGGGUGGUAAAUUUCAUCUAAAGCUAAAUACUGGCGAGAGACCGAUAGCGAACAAGUACCGUGAGGGAAAGAUGAAAAGAACUUUGAAAAGAGAGUUAAACAGUACGUGAAAUUGUCAAAAGGGAAGCGUUUGACACCAGUGUUGUUUUCUCGAAAAUCAAUUAAAAAUGGCAGGAUUUUGUGUCGUAUUGACUUUAUCAGCUUUCUGCACUUUUUUCUUGUCUUUUUUAAUGCACUUUUCGUUUAACAAGUCAACAUCAAUUUCUUUUGUUGUAAAAGAGUCAUUGGAAGGUGGCUUUCUUUUCGGAGAAAGUGUUUAUAGCCUUUGACUUCUGCAAUCGGAGAGAUUGAGGUCUGCAGCGUAGAUCCUUCGGGGUUAGAUAGCAUUUGUGCUAAGCUAUAGCCUUUCAUAGACAACUUGUUGACUAUGAUCAGUCAUGUAGCUUACUCGCUUAUGCUAUUUUACCUACGCUUAGGAUGUUGACGAUCAGCUGAGCGCG